This is a long non-coding RNA of Papaver somniferum (opium poppy), 3175 nucleotides long. RefSeq lists it as uncharacterized. The transcript has 12 exons. Lineage: Eukaryota; Viridiplantae; Streptophyta; Magnoliopsida; Ranunculales; Papaveraceae. The record is from RefSeq and is a predicted model, not a curated record.
GUCCUCUCUCACUCUCUCAGAAACGGGCAAAGAGCUCUGAAGAAAACCUCUCCCGCCGUUGAAGCAAGUAAGUAAUUUGUGGUUUUAGCUUCGAAGAUCGAUUCGCGUUCAUGGGGAUUUCUUUUUCAAGUUAUCGAAAUUAAAACCCCUAAAAUACCACAAGCAGAAUAAGUAAUAAUCUAGUACUUGGAUUUAGAAUUGGUUUUAGACGGACUAUUACUACUACUAACUCUAUGCUGCCUCGGUAUUUACAAUUUCAUAAAGCUACCACAAACAAGAAGAAGAUUGUCGGACCUAAUUUACAGGUUGUACGUAUGGAUUUAUCGAGACCUGAACUCGAUAACACAGUUAAUUACUUAGAAGCUGAUUACUUUUCAUCCUCCUUCAUUGUUUACACAAGACCUAAUAAAUCUUUGAUUGUUGUCAUUUCUGGUGCAGAUCAGCAUGUUUAUACUACCUGCAUCAAGGUGAAACAUAAGAGAGUGGUCGUGGAUGUUGAGAGUUCAGUGGACGUUGUUUACAAGCUGAAGGAAUCACAUUUGAGUCGAAGCCAGGUAGCGUACAAAAGGAAGCAUUUGGUUCACUUAAACCGGUUGAUGGAGAACAUGUUGUGGACAUUUACACUGAUUACCAUUUAAUUUGGGGUAUACGCUUAACUUGUGAUUUCUGAAAGCAGACAUUGUGAUUGCUGCAGCCAGGAACGCAAAUAUGGUAUGACGAGAUUCGUUCCAUGCCCCUAAAGUUCCAAUCUUGUAUGCCACUGAAACAUUUACAUCCACAACUACUGGUCUGUAGUCUGUAAAUUACAUCAAUUAAGCCUAAACAUCCUUGUUAGAUUGAAAGUUCAAGCCUAUUGCCGUGGCACCCCUUAGAAGCAAGGAGUGAAGGAGGUUGUUACUACUGUACCAUGAGGGUAGCUGUUACCGUUAUUUCACAAAAAGGAAGAAUCGGGUAAAUGUGUACUGCAUACUUGCAGUGGAUCCGAUACGUUCCAUGUUGUUAAUAUAAGAACAGACAUCGAAUUUGUGUUUUUCGCUGGAGGCUUCGAGACACCUUGCAUUUUAAAAAGGUCAAGCCUAUAAAAUUCGCUAAUCCAAAUUCUCUUUUGUAUGGUCAUCUCUCCAGCAUUGAUUCGUCCGGGACAUUGAUGAAAUUGACAUGGGUAAGUGGUGAUAAAGAACCUCAACAGGCUUAAUAUGGUGAUGGAAAUUCACAUGCAUCAGAUGCUGAUACAUUUACUCAAAAGCAAAUGUGUAAUUCAACAAUAAAAAGUCCAAUUAUUGAUUUUGGAUGGCAUGACCCUGGUUACAUUCAUUCAGCUGUGAUGACUGACCUUCAACCAUCAACCACCUACUCCUACAGAUAUGGCAGGUAAAACGUAUGUCUUCUUGUUAGUUGGGUCAUCGAUUAAGAUUUUUUUUUGCUUUUGUGAACAAAUAUAUAUUCUGAAAUUCCAUGUAUGCAGUGAUUCAGUAGGCUAGAGUAAUCGAACAAAAUUCAGGACUCCACCUGCAGGGGGUUCCGAUGAACUUAAAUUCCUUUCCUUCGGGGAUAUGGGAAAGGCCCCUUUAGACGGGUCCAUUGAGCACUAUAUUCAGGUGUUAAUUGUACAAAAUUAAAUAGAAAUGGUACCCGUUUAACUCUUAUUAUUGUGUCAAGAACAAUGCAUAUGUGAACCAUGACUAAUAACCACUGGAUUGAUCUAUUAACUAGCUUUUCUUUCAAUGUUAGCCCCUCAGUACUAGUUGGUAGUUUUUUAUUUGAAAGACCCCGUAUGGCCGUAUUGCCUGCUGAUUUUUUUUUCAUAGUAGCCUGGUCCUCUUUCUGUGAUGGAAGCCAUGCGGAAAGAAGUAGAAUCAGUCGAAGUGGACUCAGUCUUUCAUAUCGGAAACAUAAGUUAUGCCACUGGUUUCCUGGUAGAGUGGGAUUAUUUCCUUAGCCUGAUCCAGCCAGUUACUUCUCAUUUCACCUACAUGACAACAAUUGGCAACCAUGGGAGAAACUACAUAAACUCCGGAUCGGUUUAUAUAACCCCAGAUUCUGGUGGAGAAUGUGGAGUUGCUUAUGGGGCCUAUUUUCCGAUGCCCACAUCUGCGAAAGACAAACCCUGGUAUUCAAUCAACCAAGCCGGCAUUCACUUCACUGUAAUCUCAACAGAACAUCCUUGGACUGAGAACUCUGAACAGGUAGACUUGUGUUAAUGACCAUUGACUGCAGAAUACAUAAGACAUAAUUCUUGUGAGCUAUUGUUAUUCAUCUUUAAUAGUAGAAGUAUGAAUUGUGCUUGUUGUUUUACGUAAUGCUUACUGAUGUGUAAUGCUCAUUGAUGUCGUCUUUGUGUUCAUAAUUGUUGCUUUUCUUAUCAUCAAAGAUUACAAACCCAAAAAGAUGUUAAUUUUGUCUGCAAUUUUCAUAUCUAUAGGUAUUUAGCUGUGAGACUGAUGCAUAUCCCUUGCUAAGGGAUCUUUGUACUAAUACUAUAGGUAUUGAUAUGCUGUCAAAUGGCAGCUGAUUAUCACUCGGAAACACCUCAUUUAACAAGUAUCCAGGUAGCUGACAGUUGUGGUUCUAUUAUUUGUGUGCUUGUCAUUCAUAGUAGAAUACCAGUUCUAGCUAAAACUGGCUUUCUUUUGACUGCCGUGAGGACAUAUUUGGAAUUGGGGGAGUGCAAGACAUUUACUCGUGCAUGUUUGGGUUCUUCAGCCUGCUGCUCGGGAAUUUGAAUUGAAUUAAGAGUGUAAUGCUACCCGCUGGUCUCCCGAGGAAUUUGAACGUAAGUUAUAGAUAUGGAGCACACUGCACAAAAUAGAUUUUUACCCAAGUGUAGUGUUCUACCGAAGUAUACUGUUCUAGAUUGAUGUCUUUGAAUGUACAUGUACUGCCAGUAACCACCUUUCGGCUUUUCACUCAAACCGCCGUGAGAAAGAAGCUUAAUUGAAGAAGCAAAUCAAGAAGCAGCAGGAGGAAGCUGAAAAAGAACAAAGAAGUGAGAUGAGGAAACAGCUGAUUCGCAAGUACGAGUUUCUUAUAUUCUUUGUAUAUGUGUCUUCUCUUACUUCUGAAACUAAACUAAGAGUGUUGAUUUAAAUCUAGAAGAAAUGUAGUCACAAAUAAUAAACAUAGUUGUUUCCUUCCCUUUCUUUUGUUAAAUAUUUUUGAUGUUUAAAUAUGUAUA